GAUGAACGCUGGCGGCGUGCCUAAUACAUGCAAGUCGAGCGAACGGACGAGAAGCUUGCUUCUCUGAUGUUAGCGGCGGACGGGUGAGUAACACGUGGAUAACCUACCUAUAAGACUGGGAUAACUUCGGGAAACCGGAGCUAAUACCGGAUGAUAUUUUGAACCGCAUGGUUCAAAAGUGAAAGACGGUCUUGCUGUCACUUAUAGAUGGAUCCGCGCUGCAUUAGCUAGUUGGUAAGGUAACGGCUUACCAAGGAAACGAUGCAUAGCCGACCUGAGAGGGUGAUCGGCCACACUGGAACUGAGACACGGUCCAGACUCCUACGGGAGGCAGCAGUAGGGAAUCCUCCGCAAUGGGCGAAAGCCUGACGGAGCAACGCCGCGUGAGUGAUGAAGGUCUUCGGAUCGUAAAACUCUGUUAUUAGGGAAGAACAUAUGUGUAAGUAACUGUGCACAUCUUGACGGUACCUAAUCAGAAAGCCACGGCUAACUACGUG
This 497-nucleotide ribosomal RNA is filed under the name uncultured bacterium. RNAcentral describes it as "partial 16S ribosomal RNA". It matches the Rfam family "Bacterial small subunit ribosomal RNA", at positions 28 to 507 of the family's 1533-position model. The record is from RNAcentral.